AAGCUCAAUGCUGAGUCUAUAGCACUGGGCCUUAUACAGUACUUUGAGACUUCAGCCAUAACAAAAAGUUUGGGGAAUAAACUGUUGCACCCACUAACUUAUUACUAGGAAGAAAACAGAAACACUUCAAACAAAUGGCUAUUAACCCAGUCAUGCAUGAAUGAGCUGGACACCAGCAGGCUGAAGCUCCUGGCUCUGCUGUCACAUAGGGAACAGCGAAGGGUGCAGACUUCAGAGGCAGACAAGCCUGCCCAGGAAUCCCAGCUGUACCCCUGAGCUGCAGAUCUGCAGGAGGACUUAUGAAGGCACAGAAUGGGGUGAGAGGUGAGAAGAACCUGUCGUGAAGAAAGUGAGGCCUCCUGUGAGGCAGACGCACUGAAGGGCGCGCUCCUGGUCCUGUCUGCACUGUCUCGGUGUCGAGCUCCUGUCUGGUCUACUCACUUUGUAAGACCAAACUCACUCCACCUCCUCAGAUGGCCUGCCACCUCCUUCUUAAAGGCUGGCAUGGGGCCGGGGCCGGGCCGGACUAGCAGUCAGCACAGAGCAGAGACACCUGAGUCCAGAGACAGGAAUUGUGGGAGGACCCAUCACCCAUGCAAAGUUCAAAACAUGACAGAUACACUUCCUCCCUGUGGUGAGGCAGGUCCUGGG
This 651-nucleotide long non-coding RNA is filed under the name Heterocephalus glaber (naked mole-rat). RNAcentral describes it as "lncRNA (ENSHGLG00100050857.1)". Lineage: Eukaryota; Metazoa; Chordata; Mammalia; Rodentia; Bathyergidae. The record is from RNAcentral.